This 497-nucleotide ribosomal RNA is filed under the name uncultured bacterium. Its description in RNAcentral is "partial 16S ribosomal RNA". It matches the Rfam family "Bacterial small subunit ribosomal RNA", at positions 28 to 507 of the family's 1533-position model. The record is from RNAcentral.
GAUGAACGCUGGCGGCGUGCCUAAUACAUGCAAGUCGAGCGAACGGACGAGAAGCUUGCUUCUCUGAUGUUAGCGGCGGACGGGUGAGUAACACGUGGAUAACCUACCUAUAAGACUGGGAUAACUUCGGGAAACCGUAGCUAAUACCGGAUAAUAUUUUGAACCGCAUGGUUCAAAAGUGAAAGACGGUCUUGCUGUCACUUAUAGAUGGAUCCGCGCUGCAUUAGCUAGUUGGUAAGGUAACGGCUUACCAAGGCAACGAUGCAUAGCCGACCUGAGAGGGGGAUCGGCGACACUGGAGCUGGGACGCGGUCCAGGGUCCUACGAGAGGCAGCAGUAGGGUAUCUGCCGCAGUGGGCGAAAGCCUGACGGAGCAACGCCGCGUGAGUGGUGGAGGUCUUCGGAGCGGAAAACUCUGUUAUGAGGUAAGAACAUAUGUGUAAGUAACUGUGCAGAUCGUGACGGUACCUAAUCAGAAAGCCACGGCUAACUACGUG